Molecule: ribosomal RNA, 468 nt
Filed under: uncultured bacterium
Lineage: Bacteria
Description: partial 16S ribosomal RNA
Rfam family: Bacterial small subunit ribosomal RNA
Source: RNAcentral
GACGAACGCUGGCGGCGUGCUUAACACAUGCAAGUCGAACGGAAAGGCCCUGCUUUUGUGGGGUGCUCGAGUGGCGAACGGGUGAGUAACACGUGAGUAACCUGCCCUUGACUUUGGGAUAACUUCAGGAAACUGGGGCUAAUACCGGAUAGGAGCUCCUGCUGCAUGGUGGGGGUUGGAAAGUUUCGGCGGUUGGGGAUGGACUCGCGGCUUAUCAGCUUGUUGGUGGGGUAGUGGCUUACCAAGGCUUUGACGGGUAGCCGGCCUGAGAGGGUGACCGGCCACAUUGGGACUGAGAUACGGCACAGACUCAUACGGGAGGCAGGAGGGGAGAAUAUUGCACAAUGGGCGGGAGCCUGAUGCAGCAGCGCCGCGUGCGGGAUGACGGCCUUCGGGUUGUAAACCGCUUUCGCCUGUGACGAAGCGUGAGUGACGGUAAUGGGUAAAGAAGCACCGGCUAACUACGUG